UACGUAGGUGGCAAGCGUUGUCCGGAUUUACUGGGCGUAAAGCGUGCGUAGGUGGUGUGUUAAGUCUGUCGUGAAAGCCCCGGGCUCAACCUGGGAAUGGCGAUGGAUACUGGCUCGCUAGAGUGCGGUAGAGGAGAGUGGAAUUCCCGGUGUAGCAGUGAAAUGCGUAGAGAUCGGGAGGAACAUCAGUUGCGAAGGCGGCUCUCUGGCCCAGAACUGACACUGAGGCACGAAAGCGUGGGGAGCAAACAGG
Molecule: ribosomal RNA, 253 nt
Filed under: uncultured bacterium
Lineage: Bacteria
Description: partial 16S ribosomal RNA
Rfam family: Bacterial small subunit ribosomal RNA
Source: RNAcentral